Molecule: non-coding RNA, 121 nt
Organism: Diaporthe sp. PMI_573
Lineage: Eukaryota; Fungi; Ascomycota; Sordariomycetes; Diaporthales; Diaporthaceae
Source: the annotation of a GenBank genome assembly
GCCCGGCUAGCUCAAUCGGUAGAGCGUGAGACUCUUACUCGUCAAGAACCUGUCGAGGACCUCACGAUUCUGACAGGGACAGUGCAUCUCAAGGUUGUGGGUUCGACCCCCACGUCGGGCU